UUUGCAAUUUUGGAAUAUUCUCAUAUACAUUAUGAGAGAUCUUGGGAAUGGGACCUAAGUCUAAACAUGAAAUUAAUUUUAUAUAUUCCUUAUA
Cebus imitator (Panamanian white-faced capuchin) is the source of this 94-nucleotide long non-coding RNA. RefSeq lists it as uncharacterized. The transcript is spliced from 3 exons. The record is from RefSeq and is a predicted model, not a curated record. NCBI's taxonomy places the organism in Eukaryota, Metazoa, Chordata, Mammalia, Primates, Cebidae.